UACGGAGGGAGCUAGCGUUGUUCGGAAUUACUGGGCGUAAGGCGCGCGUAGGCGGCUUUGUAAGUUAGAGGUGAAAGCCCGGGGCUCAACCCCGGAAUUGCCUUUAAGACUGCAUCGCUUGAAUCCGGGAGAGGUGAGUGGAAUUCCGAGUGUAGAGGUGAAAUUCGUAGAUAUUCGCAAGAACACCAGUGGCGAAGGCGGCUCACUGGCCCGGUACUGACGCUGAGGUGCGAAAGCGUGGGGAGCAAACAGG
RNAcentral lists this ribosomal RNA (253 nucleotides) under uncultured bacterium. Its description in RNAcentral is "partial 16S ribosomal RNA". It matches the Rfam family "Bacterial small subunit ribosomal RNA", at positions 524 to 776 of the family's 1533-position model. The record is from RNAcentral.